RNAcentral lists this ribosomal RNA (899 nucleotides) under uncultured bacterium. RNAcentral describes it as "bacterial SSU rRNA". It matches the Rfam family "Bacterial small subunit ribosomal RNA", at positions 78 to 989 of the family's 1533-position model. The record is from RNAcentral.
GCUGCUCGAAGAUCUUAGUGGCGGACGGGUGAGUAACGCGGGGGCAAUCUGCCCGUAAGAGGGGGAUAACACCUAGAAAUGGGUGCUAAUACCGCAUAACAUCAUAGGGUUGCAUGACCUUGUGAUCAAAGGAGAAAUCCGCUUAUGGAUGAGCCCGCGUCUGAUUAGCUAGUUGGUGGGGUAACGGCCUACCAAGGCGACGAUCAGUAGCCGGCCUGAGAGGGUGAUCGGCCACACUGGAACUGAGACACGGUCCAGACUCCUACGGGAGGCAGCAGUGGGGAAUCUUCCGCAAUGGGCGAAAGCCUGACGGAGCAACGCCGCGUGAGUGAUGAAGGCCUUCGGGUUGUAAAACUCUGUCUUCAGGGAAGAAAAAAAUGACGGUACCUGAGGAGGAAGCCACGGCUAACUACGUGCCAGCAGCCGCGGUAAUACGUAGGUGGCAAGCGUUGUCCGGAAUUACUGGGCGUAAAGAGCGCGUAGGCGGGGAUUUAAGUCAGGAGUGAAAACUACCGGCUCAACCGGUAGCCUGCUCUUGAAACUGAAUCUCUUGAGGGUAUGAGAGGAAAGCGGAAUUCCCAGUGUAGCGGUGAAAUGCGUAGAUAUUGGGAGGAACACCAGUGGCGAAGGCGGCUUUCUGGCAUACAACUGACGCUGAGGCGCGAAAGCGUGGGGAGUAAACGGGAUUAGAUACCCCGGUAGUCCACGCCGUAAACGAUGGGCACUAGGUGUAGGAGGUAUCGACCCCUUCUGUGCCGUAGUUAACACGAUAAGUGCCCCGCCUGGGGAGUACGGCCGCAAGGUUGGAACUCAAAGGAAUUGACGGGGGCCCGCACAAGCGGUGGAGUAUGUGGUUUAAUUCGACGCAACGCGAAGAACCUUACCAGGGCUUGACAUCC